Cyprinus carpio carpio is the source of this 1322-nucleotide long non-coding RNA. NCBI's taxonomy places the organism in Eukaryota, Metazoa, Chordata, Actinopteri, Cypriniformes, Cyprinidae. The record is from Ensembl.
AUAAUAAAAUACAAAAGAGAGUGACCUUGAAAAACUAUUUUUUUCUUAGAAAAAGAAUCAGUUUGAAAAGCACCAUAUUUUAGGAGCUCUUCUAAAACCCAGUAUGUUUAUGGACAGUUUCCAAAAGAAAAUCAGGUGGAAGUCACGUAAAUACUAUCACAUCAUAAUUAAUGUUUUAGUUAUCAUAUAAAGUAAGGACAAUAGAAAUAAGGAAGCUCAGAGUUGUCGGUAUAGAGGAAGUUGCAUAGCUGCUGAAGGUAGCUGAGAAAUGCAAUUUGCUAAUGUAUCACUCUGUAAUCCAUGACUGCAAAGACACUUGACUUAUUUUUGUUUCCUUUCCAUUUCUUCUUGUCCUUCUCUCUGUCAUUUUCCCUUAUCCCUUCUUGUUGUCCGUGCUGGUAUGACUCUCUCUCUCCAGGGAGUGGGAAAAACGGCAGAACAAAGCGCUGGAGGGAGCAGGGCUCAUUGGGAGUCUGAGCUGGAGGCUUUGUAGGGCAGCCAGCUGGACAUACAAAGAGAGUAAGAACGAGAGAGAGAGAGAAAGAAAGCAAAAGGGGGAUGCAGAGAUGGAGAGGUGUAAGCGCGACCCAGGAUAUGGGUGUGGGUGCUGCCGAGGCUCGCGGGGGAGGGGGAGGGAUGAGGAGGAGAACGGCGUGAACACUAGAUCCUGCUUUGUGAUCCACUCAUGCAGAACUUUUGCCCUCACACCCCUGGCCUUCUAUUCUCCAGCUCUUAGCUCUGCAUGCCCACCAUUCACCCCUCGCACCCCCACCUUCAUCCCUGAGAAUUUUUAAUCUAAUCAGUGUUGGAUAAAUGUUACUCGAAUCAAUUGUUCCAUUUUAGUAAAGGAUUCCUAAAAAGAAUGGUGCAAGCAUCAACUGAACUCCUGUUGGUUGUUGUCGGAUGCAAAAUGUCUGAGGUCGGUUAUAGACGUGGGGUCAGGAAGAUUAUUGUGUUCUCCAUCCUCCUGAGCUGAAGAUUAAGGCAUAGUUUAAGGGUCAAUGUGAGCUGGAAUAGCCCUUUGCAGGUCCACCCUGACACCCCAUGGAGGGCUGAAGCGUGGCCAUUUUUGGGUCCUCACCAGGGUUGCUCCACAUGACCUGCUACCUGGCAGGGGGUACAGUGAAAAGAGAGCACUGAACAAGUGACUAGUGUUUGAAAUGCAAGGUCAUGGCUUUGCAAUAUGGGUGGUCAGUGAAAUCUAAAAUACAUUUGUUUUAGGAACUUGUUCCACGUAAAAUACAUUGCUCAAUUCUCAGAAACAGCUGCAUGACUGUUAUGUACUUACAAUGGAAGUCAAUGGGGAAAAACACAAUUAAAGG